Molecule: ribosomal RNA, 1141 nt
Filed under: Amanita sp. 'texasorora'
Lineage: Eukaryota; Fungi; Basidiomycota; Agaricomycetes; Agaricales; Amanitaceae
Description: partial 28S ribosomal RNA
Rfam family: Eukaryotic large subunit ribosomal RNA
Source: RNAcentral
UUUGACCUCAAAUCAGGUAGGACUACCCGCUGAACUUAAGCAUAUCAAUAAGCGGAGGAAAAGAAACUAACAAGGAUUCCCCUAGUAACUGCGAGUGAAGCGGGAUAAGCUCAAAUUUGAAAUCUGGCAGUCUUUUUUUUCUUCUUUGGCUGUCCGAGUUGUAAUCUAGAGAAGUGCUACCUGCACUGGACCAUGUAUAAGUCUCCUGGAAUGGAGCCUCAUAGAGGGUGAGAAUCCCGUCUUUGACAUGGACUGCCAGUGUGUUGUGGUGUGCUCUCAAAGAGUCGAGUUGUUUGGGAAUGCAGCUCUAAAUGGGUGGUAAACUCCAUCUAAAGCUAAAUAUUGGCGAGAGACCGAUAGCGAACAAGUACCGUGAGGGAAAGAUGAAAAGGACUUUGGAAAGAGAGUUAAACAGUAUGUGAAAUUGUUGAAAGGGAAACGCUUGAAGUCAGUUAUGUUGGCUAGGGAUCAACCUAGCUAUUUUUGCUGGGUGAAUUUCCUAGUUUGACAGGCCAACAUCAGUCUUGACUGCUGGAAAAGAGCAGAGGGAAUGUGGCACCUUUGGGUGUGUUAUAGCCUUUUGUCAUAUGUGGCAGUUGGGACUGAGGGAUGCAGCGUGCCGCGAGGCUGGGUUUCGACCACGUUCACGCUUAGGAUGUUGGCUUUUAAUGGCUUCAAUCGACCCGUCUUGAAACACGGACCAAGGAGUCUAACAUGCCUGCGAGUGUUUGGGUGGAAAACCCUUGUGCACAAUGAAAGUGAAAGUUGAGAUCCCUGUCAUGGGGAGCAUCGACGCCCGGACUGGAGCUUUUAGCAAUGGAUCCGCGGUAGAGCAUGCAUGUUGGGACCCGAAAGAUGGUGAACUAUGCCUGAAUAGGGCAAAGCCAGAGGAAACUCUGGUGGAGGCUCGUAGCGAUUCUGACGUGCAAAUCGAUCGUCAAAUUUGGGUAUAGGGGCGAAAGACUAAUCGAACCAUCUAGUAGCUGGUUCCUGCCGAAGUUUCCCUCAGGAUAGCAGAAGCUCAUUAUCAGAUUUAUGUGGUAAAGCGAAUGAUUAGAGGCCUUGGGGUUGAAACAACCUUAACCUAUUCUCAAACUUUAAAUAUGUAAGAACGAGCUGUCACUUGAUUGGACUGCUCGGC